GUUUUUGGUACCACCUAGAACUCACCCAGCCUCAUCUGAUCUUGGAAGUUAAGCAGGGUCAGGGGUGGUUAGUACUUGAUUGGGAAACUGCCAGGGAAUAUCAGGUGCUGUAGGCU
Molecule: ribosomal RNA, 116 nt
Filed under: Rattus norvegicus (Norway rat)
Lineage: Eukaryota; Metazoa; Chordata; Mammalia; Rodentia; Muridae
Source: RNAcentral